AAAUCAUAUCACUAUUCUUAUCAGUUUAAUAUCUGAUGUGUCCUCUAUUUGGGCAUAAUAUAUAAAAUAAAUUUUUGGAGAAGGGAGAUACAAUAGGAGCUUGUUCCAUCUACUCCAUGCAGUAACCUGGUAUUGCAGUACCUCCAGGAAUGGUGCAACUUCC
Small nuclear RNA from Homo sapiens (human), 163 nucleotides. It matches the Rfam family "U2 spliceosomal RNA". From Rfam's summary of the family: U2 is a small nuclear RNA (snRNA) component of the spliceosome (involved in pre-mRNA splicing). Complementary binding between U2 snRNA (in an area lying towards the 5' end but 3' to hairpin I) and the branchpoint sequence (BPS) of the intron results the bulging out of an unpaired adenosine, on the BPS, which initiates a nucleophilic attack at the intronic 5' splice site, thus starting the first of two transesterification reactions that mediate splicing. The record is from Rfam. Lineage: Eukaryota; Metazoa; Chordata; Mammalia; Primates; Hominidae.